RNAcentral lists this long non-coding RNA (1063 nucleotides) under Homo sapiens (human). RNAcentral's name for it is "HSALNT0008873". The record is from RNAcentral. Lineage: Eukaryota; Metazoa; Chordata; Mammalia; Primates; Hominidae.
UUUCUGUUUGUUAGUUUUCCUUCUAACAGACAGGACCCUCAGCUGCAGGUCUGUUGGAAUACCCUGCCGUGUGAGAUGUCAGUGUGCCCCUGCUAGGGGGUGCCUCCCAGUUAGGCUGCUCGGGGGUCAGGGGUCAGGGAACCACUUGAGGAGGCAGUCUGCCCGUUCUCAGAUCUCCAGCUGUGUGCUGGGAGAACCACUGCUGUCUUCAAAGCUGUCAGACAGGGACAUUUAAGUCUGCAGAGGUUACUGCUGUCUUUUUGUUUGUCUGUGCCCUGCCCCCAGAGGUGGAGCCUACAGAGGCAGGCAGGCCUCCUUGAGCUGUGGUGGGCUCCACCCAGUUGGAGCUUCCUGGCUGCUUUGUUUACCUUAGCAAGCCUGGGCAAUGGCGGGCGCCCCUCCCCCAGCCUCGCUGCCGCCUUGCAGUUUGAUCUCAGACUGCUGUGCUAGCAAUCAGCAAGACUCCGUGGGCGUAGGACCCUCCAAGCCAGGUGCGAUAUAAUGUCGUGGUGCGCCGUUUUUUAAGCUGGUUGGAAAAGCGCAGUAUUCGCGUGGGAGUGACCCGAUUUUCCAGUGAGAUGAACCCGGUACCUCAGAUUGAAAUGCAGAAAUCACCCGUCUUCUGCGUCGCUCACGCUGGGAGCUGUAGACCGGAGCUGUUCCUAUUCGGCCAUCUUGGCUCCUCCCUCAGUUCUGGAGACUGGGACAUCCAAGGUCAAUGUGCUGGCAGAUUCAAUGUCUGGAGUGAAAUACAUCACCGCUUUCCCUGCUCCCGCCGCCAUUAAAAUUGUGUUUGGCAUCUGACCACCAAGAUACAGAUAUUUCCUAGACUGUUUUGCAGCUAGGUACUUAGAAAUAUCAACACUGUUUGCACUAUAAUUUACUUUUUGAGCCUCUGACAUUUACCCAGCUGACUGUCUUUGGAGAACAAUCUCUUGUCUGAGAAGCACUCUAGAAUGGAAGCCUCUUUGAAGAAAGUGUGGGAGGGGCAAAUCUAGACCACAGGUGAAGAAAAUGGGAUACAACAACCAGGAGAGGAUGAAAAUAUGAGAUGAAAAAUAUG